CCAAAAAAAAAUUUAUUCCCAGAAAAAAAUUAAGAAAAAAAAAUCUUUCCAUGCAUAGUGCAAAAAAAAAAAUUCCUUGCUUAGAAGAUAGGCCAAGUGGUGUACUGGUGCGAGGGCUCAGGGGGGCUGAGCCCCCUUGUUGAAAUUUUAUGUUGACUUGGGGGGCUGCACGUUGGUCAAAUUUUGCAAAAUUUCUCCCACUCGUGCGGGUGCGUAUUGACAGCGGACAUCUUACAGAAAGUGGCCAGUUCUCUGAAAAAUGCAAAAGUUUCAAUUUUACACCGAAAGUCCACUGACAAUAUGAGCCUGCGGUCGUGGGAGAAAAUUUGCUGAAUAUGACCAGCGUGCUGAGCCCAUUGAACUAUAAAUAAACUGGACGGCUAACUGCUAUGAUGAAGGCCUAUGAUUUGAUGAAGCCAAAAUAGUUUUUCUGAGUUAUGAGCAGAAAUACUUGACCCCAAACGUCGGGCUAUAUAUCAAAUUGAAGCUAGGCCAAAAAAAAAAUAUGUGGGUUUCCGGUUUCUUCUUAUAAAAACUUAGGUAGGGUAGGUCGGUUUUAACUUUUUUUUUUAAACUUUUUUUUUAAUUUUCCGAAUAAGCGGACGCCAUUUUGUUUAGUCAGUGCUUCCACAUCCAAAGAUAGAUUUCCUUAAUAUUGCCUCAAAUUUCAAUUUUCCACAAACUUUUUCCUCUAAGUGGAAACACUUACAAGCACGAUCCAAUAAAAAAGUUUAGGGUCGGGAUUUCGACGUCCAACAGUUAGGUAGGGUCGGGAAACCGGAAACACACAUAUUUUUUUUUUUUGGCCCUAUUGAAAAUUGCUAUUCGGUGUGGAAAUUUCAAGACUUCAGCGAAAAGAAAAAUAUUUAAAAAAUACAAAAACAACUGCAAAACGGCAAAUUAUCGGUAAUUAUGUUUGUACUUUUUCAAUACUUCCCUUUUAGCUAAAAUCUUGAAAUUUCUACACCAAAUAGCGUUUUUCAAUAGCUUCAAUUUGAUAUAUAGCCCAACGUUCAGUGUUGAGUAUUUCUGCUCAUAACUCAGAAAAAACUUAAAUGCACUGGCUUCAAUCCCCCCCUGAGUUAGCCUUCCAGUUUAUUUAUAGUUCAAU
Paramuricea clavata is the source of this 1111-nucleotide non-coding RNA. The record is from the annotation of a GenBank genome assembly. NCBI's taxonomy places the organism in Eukaryota, Metazoa, Cnidaria, Anthozoa, Malacalcyonacea, Plexauridae.